This 2399-nucleotide long non-coding RNA is filed under the name Homo sapiens (human). RNAcentral's name for it is "ZEB1 antisense RNA 1, transcript variant 3 (ZEB1-AS1)". Lineage: Eukaryota; Metazoa; Chordata; Mammalia; Primates; Hominidae. The record is from RNAcentral.
CGCCCACAGCCCGGCCCGAGUCGCGGGGCCCGAGCGACAGCGACGGCGCCGGCCGGGGCCGCGGCGCGCGGAAGCCACUUUGCACGGUCAGCGCCGGGCACAAGUUUGUUCCGCGGCUCCCGGGGGCCUGGGCGCUGAGGGAGAAUCGCGCUGAGGGGGCCAGGAGGAGGGGGAGAGGGAGGCGCCGAAGGGCACAAGAGUGGGGAAAAGUGCGGAAAGAAGCAACAGCCGCUCCACCCGGGACCAGAAAAGUGGCCAGUGCGUCCCGGCCGCCCGCCCUGCGCCGGGGAUGCGGCGGCGUCGGCGCCGGCUAACGGUCCAGGGAGGCGGCAGGGGCGGCGGGAGCCGCUAGGCGGAGAGAGACCAGGGACGCCUGGUUUCCCCCCAAGCGAACCGGGAUGGGAAGUGACUUCAAUGAGAUUGAACUUCAGCUGGAUUGAAAGAGAGGCUAGAAGUUCCGCUUGCCAGCAGCCUCCUUAGUAGAGCGGAAUGAGUAAUACCCACACGGUGCUUGUCUCACUUCCCCAUCCGCACCCGGCCCUCACCUGCUGUCACCUCGGCCUCCCACACCCGGUCCGCGCUCCCCGCCCUCUUCCUCGCGUAGAACCGUGGGAUCCUAGGUGGCAGGACUCAGAGCUAAGGUAUCCACAGGCCAUGAAUUCCUUCCUAAAUGAGCGGUCAUCGCCGUGCAGGACCUUAAGGCAAGAAGCAUCGGCUGACAGAUGUGAUCUCUGAACCUGAUAGAUUGCUGAUUUUAUCUUAUUUUAUCCUUGACUUGGUACAAGUUUUGGGAUUUCUGAAAAGACCAUACAGAUAACCACAAAUAUCAAGAAAGUCGUCUUCAGUAUUAAGUAGAAUUUAGAUUUAGGUUUCCUUCCUGCUUCCCACCUCCUUCGAAUAAGGAAACGUCUUUGGGACCAACUUUAUGGAAUAAAUAAGCUGAGCUGUAUUUCAAGUAAUAUAGUUAUAAAUUAACAAUGUAGCAGUUAUUGAUAGAGAAAUUGAGAAAACUGAAACGUGACCGGAGUAUUGGAAAUAACGUAGUACAUCACCUAGCACAAUGACACAUAGUAGGUGCUCAAUAAAUUUAUGCUUAUAAUUUUUGUCACUUCUAUGGCAGGAUUUUUUUAUUAGGUUAAAAUUAUCUUUUAAACACCUUCCGGAAUUUUAGAAUAUUCAUUAAUAAUGUCUUCAAACCUUUCAACUGAAAUAAAUUUACAGCUGAAGUCUGAUGAUUUAAAGUUAGAAAGUUUAAUCUUGAAUAUAAAUGAACAUUUUCUCUCCCACAUUUUCUUGGGCAUUUUGAGAAGUAAAUGCGUUAUUUAUUGGUCCAUGAAAUGUGACUGUAAAUAUUCUUUGCUAUACAUUAUGUCUAUAUAUCUGCAUUCAUCCUCAAUGCCAAAACUAGAAUCAUUAGUCUUAAUGAUCAUUUUAAGUACAGGCAGUCCUCGCUUUCCUUGAUACCAUGUUAACCGAAACUUGUGUAUGUCAACACGGUGUCCUUGCUUUGCUUGGUUAAGUGUGAGUUCUUCCUCCCUUUUUUUAAGAGUUGUACAAUGUUUUUCAGUCGCCUACCGAAUCAGGUCAUAGACUAUGGAAUUGACCCCACCCCACCAACAUUUUUACAGCUACCCUGAUUUCUGACCAGAAAGGAAAAAAAAACUUUCCAGCUCUAUCACACAUUUUACCUACUCUUAAACUUAGGAGGUAUUACAAAUAGCAUUUUCUCAUGUUCUCUUUCUGGCCUGUACCUCCCUGCUAAGCUUCCUUCAGUGUUCAUCCUCACCUCAUAGAGAGAUGAAGUGAAGAGACAAACAGAAGUCAUUUUCUUCCUUACUUUAGUGGUUUCUGGUUUAGUUAGUUUGGGCCAAACUGUGGACAAGUACCUUUUCAGGUAACUUUUUUUUCUUAUUUCUAUGUCCUCAACACCUAGUGGAGUACGUAGCCAAUAGUAGAUGCUUAAUAAACAUUUCUUAAAUUAAUAUUGUUGACCUUUUCUGACCCUGUUCUUGACAGUAAGGUACAUAAUCUGCCUUCAUCCCUUUAGUCCUUAGGAACAGAUAAAGUCAUGGAUAUGAAAGUGAUCACUGUCAUUAAUAUCCACAUUAAAAUUGCUCUUGAUUUUAGUUUCUCCAUAAUCAUUUUCCCUAAACAAUGAACUCUGUUCACCUUUUUUUUUAAAAUAUGCACAGUGAAUAUUACUGGUAGCCCAAAUCUUCUAACAUAAAAUUUCCAUUUUGUAAAAGCUUCUGAUAAGCAUAUAUGUUAUGAAUUGAAUGUUUGAUUAUUAUACUUUAAUAUUCUUGAAAAUAUUGAUACCUGGACUGGAAAGAAAACAGACAAAAGUAAAUCUCAGAAUAAAUUACUGCUUUAAACAUGAAAAAAAAAAAAAAAAAAAA